RNAcentral lists this ribosomal RNA (389 nucleotides) under uncultured bacterium. Its description in RNAcentral is "bacterial SSU rRNA". It matches the Rfam family "Bacterial small subunit ribosomal RNA", at positions 28 to 417 of the family's 1533-position model. The record is from RNAcentral.
GACGAACGCUGGCGGCGUGCUUAACACAUGCAAGUCGAGCGGUAAGGCCCUUUCGGGGGUACGACGAGCGGCGAACGGGUGAGUAACACGUGGGUGACCUGCCCUCAGCUCUGGGAUAAGCCCGGGAAACUGGGUCUAAUACUGGAUAUGACUCCACGGUGCAUGCCGUGGGGUGGAAAGCCUUGUGCGGCUGAGGAUGGGCCCGCGGCCUAUCAGCUUGUUGGUGGGGUGAUGGCCUACCAAGGCGACGACGGGUAGCCGGCCUGAGAGGGCGACCGGCCACACUGGGACUGAGACACGGCCCAGACUCCUACGGGAGGCAGCAGUGGGGAAUCUUGCGCAAUGGGCGAAAGCCUGACGCAGCGACGCCGCGUGAGGGAUGACGGCCU